This 2567-nucleotide unclassified non-coding RNA is filed under the name Hevea brasiliensis (rubber tree). Lineage: Eukaryota; Viridiplantae; Streptophyta; Magnoliopsida; Malpighiales; Euphorbiaceae. The record is from RNAcentral.
AGAGAGGGAGCACUAUUUUUUAAUGCUCCCGAUGUAUUUAAUAAUUAGCUCACAUUUAGAGCUAUCGACCUGCUUUCGAAAAAGGCAAGCUUACUCAACAAUGAACUAAAAUCUAAACCAUCAUCAGACAAUCGCACAACGUGUGAAAAAUGAAGCACACAGGGUCACAGGCCUGAACUGACCAAUCACUAACACGGUUCAAUAAUUCCUACACAGGAUGUCAAAUUGUACAUUCGCUUUUAAAAAUGCUGUUAAAGUAUUGUAUAUAUCAUUCAGAAUGUGUAGACAACAGCACACCUGCUGACAAUAAUCAAAUUCACAAAACUCCAUAUAUACUAAUAUUGGUGUGCGUAUCUUCUGGAAAUUCUUGUAAUGUGAAACCUCCUGGAUAAGCAUGUGUACAUUGAAAUCCUGAAAGAAUGAAAAGAAUUAGAAGCCACAGUAGAACCAAGCAGUUACUCAUCUGACAGCUACUGCUGCAUCAGCAUGAACACCAGAGUCGCUAGGAGGAUCCAUAAAUUUACAGCCGGCCCCUUUCUAUUGCUGUUGCUUGUGGGGUAUACUUUAGGAAGUGAACAUUCCUCCCCAUUGAAGAACACUUUAGUUGGAAAACCAUCUCCAGCAGCCACAUUAAGUCCGGGCGUAGAUUUCUUAGUAAAUGAGAUUACAGACUGCUGUUUUCCAGGUACCCUAGGAUUCUUUUGUGGGUCAGCUCCAUCAGUUUCAGCAACAAGAUAGUUCAACCCUGGAAGCCCUUGCAUGAUUAUGGUAUUGUUGACGCCAUUCACAAUGCUUCCAUUGAAUGAAUACAUUGCUUCAAAACCAGUAGCCGCUUUGUCCAAUUGUACUGCAGCAAACCAAUCAGGAAAUGCAAUUUCAUCCCAGUUGAAGAUUGUGAUCCUUGCACUCCACCCACGAGUAUAAUCUGUAUAAACAUGCCAGUUCAUGCUGACCCCACAGUUAUCUCCACAGGGCAUUGGGUUUGGCACUGUUCUAUGUUUAAGUUCAGCCCAAGCUCUAGCCAUAGCAGUCCGAUUAUCAAAAGGUAUAAGCAGUGCCUCUGGUGGAAGAAGAACAGCAGGAGCAGUCGUAUUACAAGUUCUUGCCGUGCUAGCAGGGCAUCCACAUGCACAGGUAUUGCAUGGAACAACAGAAUCAUUGUAGUAAGCAGAAAAUGAUACACAGCAUCUGGGGCUUACUCCCUUGGGAUGAGUAAUAUUGCAUACUACCUGCCAGCUAGCAACUGCAGUUGAAUUUGAUGGUAAGCCACUAGGGUCUGGGAAUUGGCUAGGGCUCACUCUUACUGGGGGACCACAUUGGUAAUCAGGGUUAAGUGUGCCAUUGAUCUUCCAAUUCUGCGGUGGUGUGAGGUCAGACCGAUUAAGAACUGGAGGCAUUUUAAAAACCUGCAUCUGGAAAACUGAAAUUGACUUGCUUGGGUCCAUGGAUGGUGGCAAGAUUGUACCAUUUCGACAACAGAAGGGUUUCAACCCAAGGUUUGUGUCGUUGUACUUUGUCGGAGGCAGGUCAAUUAUUGUUGGCCUUCUUUCACAGUUUAAUACAUUGGCAAAGUCUAGUUCCUUAUAGAAUGUACCUUGUGGGCCAAAUAUGCAGUCAGAUGAAUCAACAACAUAGGGAUAAGCCCCUUUCAUGGUGUAGAUAAAUUCAUCCGUCAUCCAGUCCCAGCUCAAUUUCCAGUUAUCAAGACGACCAAGGGGAUUGUGAUUUUCAAUGGUAACCUGUGCCCAAUAAUUGGAAUCAUAUGUUCUGAUUACAUCAUACAUAAUUGUAAGAUCCCCAUUCUGGCGAGGCAGGAACUCCUCCUCCACAGUGAUGUUUGAUUUAAAGUUCUGAUCUUUGGUGCAACAAACAUACAUCAUACUACCUUCCGUGGUAGUCUUAGGGCAAACAAACCCAUCAUUAGCAAGCGUGACAUUAGAAGGCCAGGGCACAUCCUUCAAAGGGACACCGAACUGAGUCCCGAGCAGCUUAACCUGAACCGACGUCUGAGUGGAAUCCCCAGCAGUCUCAAUUGGCGUUUUGAGAUCAGUCAUAGGGUACCCAGCAAAAACAGUACCAUUACCAACAUUGGCAGGCAAGCUAGUUCCAUCAGCAAGAAUAGCAUUAGAUGCAGAGACCAAAAACUCAUCAUUUUUAAAACCCACAAAGACCUUCCAAGAUUUGAGCUCAUCAAGUCCAUUAUUUUGUAUACUAAGCGUAGACUCGAAUCUGUAGGGCUGGUGGGCGGGAUCGGUAGGCUUAAGCUGGGUUCCUCCUUCAUAUUGGUAGGACAAGAAAAUCCCAUUGCAGUCACUGGCCGCAGGCGCCGGUGCAACGUUGUUAGUCUGGGAGAUCGCAAAGGGUAGUAUAGUAACAAGAAUCAAAAAGAACAGAUCGAAGUUGAAAGCCAUGACUUGUGGGGUGGAGGUUGCUAAAGAGAACUGGAUUUGAAAUGGUUUUUGUCACCUUUUGAAGUGAGAAAAACGAUGACAAAAUGGGAAACGCGUAAGGGAUUCCUUUUACAGCUUCCACUAAGCUGUCUUUGCUGCGAGCAGUCACGUUAUUCU